AGUGAACGCUGGCGGUAGGCCUAACACAUGCAAGUCGAACGGCAGCACAGUAGGAGCUUGCUCUUACGGGUGGCGAGUGGCGGACGGGUGAGGAAUACAUCGGAAUCUACUUUUUCGUGGGGGAUAACGUAGGGAAACUUACGCUAAUACCGCAUACGACCUACGGGUGAAAGCAGGGGAUCUUCGGACCUUGCGCGAUUGAAUGAGCCGAUGUCGGAUUAGCUAGUUGGCGGGGUAAAGGCCCACCAAGGCGACGAUCCGUAGCUGGUCUGAGAGGAUGAUCAGCCACACUGGAACUGAGACACGGUCCAGACUCCUACGGGAGGCAGCAGUGGGGAAUAUUGGACAAUGGGCGCAAGCCUGAUCCAGCCAUACCGCGCGGGUGAAGAAGGCCUUCGGGUUGUAAAGCCCUUUUGUUGGGAAAGAAAAGCAGCAGGUUAAUACCCCGCUGUUCUGACGGUACCCAAAGAAUAAGCACCGGCUAACUUCGUG
Molecule: ribosomal RNA, 492 nt
Filed under: uncultured bacterium
Lineage: Bacteria
Description: partial 16S ribosomal RNA
Rfam family: Bacterial small subunit ribosomal RNA
Source: RNAcentral